GCCAUCAUUAUUGGGGUCUAANAACAUCCGUAGCUUGCUUGAUAAGUUUUCUGUGAAAUCCUAUGUCUCAAAUAUGGGAAUUGUGGAAAAUACUGUCAAGCUAGAGACCGGGAGAUGUAAAGAGUACGUCUAAAGUAGCGGUAAAAUGUGUUGAUCUUAGGCGGACUGACAAUAGCGAAGGCACUGUUACAAGAACGGUUCUGACAGUAAGGGAUGAAGGCUAGGGGCGCAAAACGGAUUAGAUACCCGUGUAGUCCCUAGCCAGUAAACACUGCACACUAAACCUUGUGAUCUCUUCGAGAGAUUGCAGGUGCUGCAGGGAAGCGCGGAAGAGUGUGCUACCUGGGAAGUAUAGUCGCAAGGCUGAAACUUAAAGGAAUUGGCGGGGAGACACUACAACGGGUGACGCGUGCGGUUCAAUUAGAUUAUACACCGUGAACCUCACCAGGAGCGACAGCAGAAUGAAGGUCAGUCUAAAGGGCUUACCUGACACGCUGAGAGGGGUUGCAUGGCCGACGUCAGCCUGUGCUGUGAGGCGAUCUGUUAAAUCAGAUAACAGGCAAGACCC
Molecule: ribosomal RNA, 568 nt
Filed under: uncultured euryarchaeote
Lineage: Archaea; Methanobacteriati; Methanobacteriota
Description: bacterial SSU rRNA
Rfam family: Archaeal small subunit ribosomal RNA
Source: RNAcentral